Rattus norvegicus (Norway rat) is the source of this 46-nucleotide non-coding RNA. The record is from Rfam. Lineage: Eukaryota; Metazoa; Chordata; Mammalia; Rodentia; Muridae.
CCAAAGGCUCUUUUCAGAGCCAUUCACAUAAUCCAAAAAGAAGCUG